Molecule: long non-coding RNA, 440 nt
Organism: Mastomys coucha (southern multimammate mouse)
Lineage: Eukaryota; Metazoa; Chordata; Mammalia; Rodentia; Muridae
Exons: 2
Source: RefSeq, a predicted model, not a curated record
CUCAGUUCAUAUAGGUGUCUUGAGUCAGUAUCUUACGGCAUCUAUAACGACUUAUAACUGGAGACAUGAUAUUCAUUUGGUCACUGAUGUUAUCACUGGUGAAUCUCGACUCUGUCUUUCCGACAAUUGAAAGAUGAUCAGCAGCAGUAGAGGUCUUCUCGUCUGGAGUCACCACUGCCUACCUGUGUACCUGCACCUGAGAGCUGGGUAGAGAACACUCGUGCAGAGCUCUGAGCAGUGAGGGAAUGGGAUGCUACAGCAGUUUCUCAUUUCUGCCAACCCUCGGGUAAAAUGCCACUGAGCUAUCAAACUCCAGCUGCAUAGAGCAGCAUUCCUCUCAGUCUCCCAGGCCAGUGUCUGCUGGGAUGACCGUCCGAGAGGCUGCAAAAGCCCAAUUCCAAUCCUUAGGGCAUCCUGUUUCAAGAAUAAGAAAGAAAGCA